CUCAACAUGUGCGGCUGAAUUCUGGACGUCCUGGAGUUUGGAGGCUGAACCAUGGAGGAAACUGUUAUCUAAUCAAGCCAUGAAUCAUGGUUUCAGAGGCAGAGAAGGAAAGUGGAUCACAAAGGCAGGCAAUGUUUUUGAGUUUAAAAAAUGCAGUUCUGAUGGUUGCUGAUGUGGUUCAGGAUUGUGAUGACUGUUGAAAAUGACUCUAAGGACUCUAAAGGGGUUAGUUUGGAGUGGUUGAAAGUGCGCCAAAAGUUGUGAGAAAUUUCAGUGACAGAUUCAGGUUGAUAUUAGUUGAGCUGAAGAAAAUUGGUGGGCUUCUUUAUUUUCUUCUGUGAGUGGUGCAGGUUACUUUUUUGGCAGAGCUGUAGAUCUGUAUGUUCUUUGCAUAGCGAUGAAGGUGGAGUCUGUGUCAAAUGAUGCCAACAAGGAGACGAGAUUCAAACAAAGAAGACCAAGUACAGAACCUUGGGGAAUGCCAUGGCUGUCCCAUGUGGCCCUGGGAGGUGGAGUUUUUUUUACAUAAAUUAACGUUUGACUUUUAGAGACACAUUCCUCAAGAAGAGAAGGUCCUAGAGUUUGCUGGAUCUUCCAGAACAUCUCCUCAUUUUCUGUAAUCAGCAGGCUAGCUGGACUGAAAGAGAGGUUUUGUCAGGCCACAAAGCUGUGUGCAGGUUUGUUGUGUGGUGUGGUGUAGUGUUUCUCAUUCUCUCCACCAGGGUGCAGCUGCACAGCUGUUAGCCCAGAGGUCUCCCUAGAUCUCACGAACCUCAGUCUGGAAGGAGAGAGAGCGCGCUAAUGUCUCUUUCCGGGCAAACAGACAUAACUCUUCAAACUGGAUCCAAGAGUGUCAUAUGAUCAGGUGAUCAUACGCACUAAGUUAUGUAGGAAUUAAUUGCUGUUUGUGUAUCUGGUAUUCAUUCAUGAACGGAGUAAUUAAGGUACAAGCGUUGCUUGACUUUCUCUCUGAGGUCUACAGAAGCAAAUUGUGUUCCAAAGAGUUCCCGGCAGAGACCCUGUCUCUACGACACCAAGUGGAGCAGUUUUUCCUGGUCUGAAGGUGUCAGAGUCUGGACUCUCUGCUACUAACUAUUUUCAGCCACUAGGUGUCGCCUGAGACCGUUCUCGGAGGGUAACAGAGCUUUGAUUCCGCCUCGCUUCCUGGAGAACUGGAGAUCAUACCCAACCAAAACAAAGAAGAAGAACCUGGACUACUUACCAGCUGGCAAUCCGUCUGAGCCCCGCCGAGCCAAACCUGUCUGCCCUCCAACGGUCUUCCAGUCUCCAGCCUUCGAAACCCUGGUGGCCUAGAACACAGCUAUCCGCAAGUCUGGACUCACCUCUCUCUCCCUGGUGGAUCAGAACCCAGCUAAUUUCCAGGCCCGAGCAGCGGCUGUCGUUUGCCACUCCAGUCUGUUAAUAAACUUCCUAAACGGUUCUUUGGGUGCUUCUGUUUAUGUGGGUCAGAUCGGCC
Long non-coding RNA from Girardinichthys multiradiatus, 1477 nucleotides. RefSeq lists it as uncharacterized. The transcript has 3 exons. The record is from RefSeq and is a predicted model, not a curated record. NCBI's taxonomy places the organism in Eukaryota, Metazoa, Chordata, Actinopteri, Cyprinodontiformes, Goodeidae.